RNAcentral lists this ribosomal RNA (253 nucleotides) under uncultured bacterium. RNAcentral describes it as "partial 16S ribosomal RNA". It matches the Rfam family "Bacterial small subunit ribosomal RNA", at positions 524 to 776 of the family's 1533-position model. The record is from RNAcentral.
UACGGGGGGGGCAAGCGUUGUUCGGAAUUACUGGGCGUAAAGGGCUCGUAGGCGGCCAACUAAGUCAGACGUGAAAUCCCUCGGCUUAACCGGGGAACUGCGUCUGAUACUGGAUGGCUUGAGUUUGGGAGAGGGAUGCGGAAUUCCAGGUGUAGCGGUGAAAUGCGUAGAUAUCUGGAGGAACACCGGUGGCGAAGGCGGCAUCCUGGACCAACACUGACGCUGAUGAGCGAAAGCGUGGGGAGCGAACAGG